GUCCUCUUGUAUAUAUAUGAGGUCUGACCUGCCCAGUGAAUAUUUAACGGCCGCGGUAUUUUGACCGUGCAAAGGUAGCAUAAUCAUUAGCCUUUUAAUAGAAGGCUGGAAUGAAAGGUUCAACGAAUCAUUAGCUGUCUCACUUAUAUAAUUUAUAACUUAAUUUUUAAGUUAAAAAGCUUAAAUUUUAUUGAAGGACGAGAAGACCCUAUAGAGCUUUACAUUUUAUUUUUUAAUAUUUUAUUGAUAAAUAAAUAUAUAUUAAAAAUAUAAUGUUUUGUUGGGGUGAUAAAAUUAUAUAGUAAACUUUUUUAUUUUGAUAACAAAUAUACUUGGUUAGUUGAUCCAUUAUUAUUGAUUAAUAGAUUAAGUUACCUUAGGGAUAACAGCGUAAUCUUCUUUUGGAGUUCGAAUUUACAAGAAGGCUUGCGACCUCGAUGUUGGAUUAAGAUAAUAAUUUGGUGUAGUAGUUAAAUUAAUAGGUCUGUUCGACCUUUAAAAUCUU
Molecule: ribosomal RNA, 505 nt
Filed under: Coeliccia ryukyuensis
Lineage: Eukaryota; Metazoa; Arthropoda; Insecta; Odonata; Platycnemididae
Description: partial 16S rRNA
Rfam family: Bacterial large subunit ribosomal RNA
Source: RNAcentral